Rattus norvegicus (Norway rat) is the source of this 69-nucleotide non-coding RNA. The record is from Rfam. Lineage: Eukaryota; Metazoa; Chordata; Mammalia; Rodentia; Muridae.
GGGGAUUUAGCUCAGUGGUAGAGCGCUUGCCUAGCAAGCACAAGGCCCUGGGUUCAGUCCCCAGCUCCG